AAGAGACAGCAGCAGCCGCGGUAAUACAGAGGGUGCGAGCGUUAAUCGGAUUUACUGGGCGUAAAGCGUGCGUAGGCGGCUUUUUAAGUCGGAUGUGAAAUCCCUGAGCUUAACUUAGGAAUUGCAUUCGAUACUGGGAAGCUAGAGUAUGGGAGAGGAUGGUAGAAUUCCAGGUGUAGCGGUGAAAUGCGUAGAGAUCUGGAGGAAUACCGAUGGCGAAGGCAGCCAUCUGGCCUAAUACUGACGCUGAGGUACGAAAGCAUGGGGAGCAAACAGGAUUAGAUACCCCCGUAGUCCCUGUCUCUUAUAC
This 310-nucleotide ribosomal RNA is filed under the name uncultured bacterium. Its description in RNAcentral is "partial 16S ribosomal RNA". It matches the Rfam family "Bacterial small subunit ribosomal RNA", at positions 503 to 807 of the family's 1533-position model. The record is from RNAcentral.